RNAcentral lists this ribosomal RNA (492 nucleotides) under uncultured bacterium. RNAcentral describes it as "partial 16S ribosomal RNA". It matches the Rfam family "Bacterial small subunit ribosomal RNA", at positions 29 to 507 of the family's 1533-position model. The record is from RNAcentral.
AGUGAACGCUGGCGGUAGGCCUAACACAUGCAAGUCGAACGGCAGCACAGUAAGAGCUUGCUCUUACGGGUGGCGAGUGGCGGACGGGUGAGGAAUACAUCGGAAUCUACUUUUUCGUGGGGGAUAACGUAGGGAAACUUACGCUAAUACCGCAUACGACCUACGGGUGAAAGCAGGGGAUCUUCGGACCUUGCGCGAUUGAAUAAGCCGAUGUCGGAUUAGCUAGUUGGCGGGGUAAAGGCCCACCAAGGCGACGAUCCGUAGCUGGUCUGAGAGGAUGAUCAGCCACACUGGAACUGAGACACGGUCCAGACUCCUACGGGAGGCAGCAGUGGGGAAUAUUGGACAAUGGGCGCAAGCCUGAUCCAGCCAUACCGCGUGGGUGAAGAAGGCCUUCGGGUUGUAAAGCCCUUUUGUUGGGAAAGAAAAGCAGCAGGUUAAUAUCCCGCUGUUCUGACGGUACCCAAAGAAUAAGCACCGGCUAACUUCGUG